RNAcentral lists this ribosomal RNA (373 nucleotides) under uncultured bacterium. RNAcentral's name for it is "bacterial SSU rRNA". It matches the Rfam family "Bacterial small subunit ribosomal RNA", at positions 523 to 898 of the family's 1533-position model. The record is from RNAcentral.
AUACGGAGGGUGCAAGCGUUAUCCGGAUUCACUGGGUUUAAAGGGUGCGUAGGCGGGUUGAUAAGUCCGUGGUGAAAGCCCCAAGCUUAACUUGGGAACUGCCGUGGAUACUAUCAGUCUUGAAUAUCGAGGAGGUAAGCGGAAUAUGUCAUGUAGCGGUGAAAUGCUUAGAUAUGACAUGGAACACCAAUUGCGUAGGCAGCUUACUACACGAUUAUUGACGCUGAGGCACGAAAGCGUGGGGAGCAAACAGGAUUAGAUACCCUGGUAGUCCACGCCCUAAACUAUGGAUACUCGACAUACGCGAUACACUGUGUGUGUCUGAGCGAAAGCAUUAAGUAUCCCACCUGGGAAGUACGAUCGCAAGAUUGAA